CCCUUAGAUGUUCUGGGCUGCACGCGCGCUACACUGGUCGAUGCAACGAGUUUCUUUCCUUGGCCGACAGGCCUGGGCAAUCUUUGAACAUCGAUCGUGAUCGGGAUAGAUUCUUGUAAUUUUUGAUCUUAAACGAGGAAUUCCUAGUAAACGCAAGUCAUCAGCUUGCAUUGAUUACGUCCCUGCCCUUUGUACACACCGCCCGUCGCACCUACCGAUUGAAUGGUCCGGUGAAAUCUCCGGACUGGCGUGAGUCGGAGCAAUCUGACAAACACCGGAAAGUUGAUUAAACCUUACCAUUUAGAGGAAGGUGAANUCGUAACA
This 324-nucleotide ribosomal RNA is filed under the name uncultured eukaryote. RNAcentral describes it as "partial 18S ribosomal RNA". It matches the Rfam family "Eukaryotic small subunit ribosomal RNA", at positions 1470 to 1796 of the family's 1831-position model. The record is from RNAcentral.